This 1009-nucleotide unclassified non-coding RNA is filed under the name Hevea brasiliensis (rubber tree). The record is from RNAcentral. Lineage: Eukaryota; Viridiplantae; Streptophyta; Magnoliopsida; Malpighiales; Euphorbiaceae.
AGAAGAGCCUCCUUAGGGUUUUUUUAAUUUUUGUUCCGUAAAUAAAAUUAAAAAUUAAAAAGUAAACCUUAAUUGGAAGAGGCAUGACCUCCCUUGCCGCAUGCCUGUUGCCUCUUCCUCCUAGGCGGUUGCCUCUUGCAAGCGAGGCCAGGCAAUGCCAAGCAAAGCUCUAGAGGGUCACCUCUCCUCGCCCAGCACCUUGCCUAGAGCCUUUUCUCGCCUUUAACAACAGUGGGGAGAUGAAGAAAAGUUUGGAUACAUUAGCCACAAUUAUCCAUGACAAAAACAACCUGCUGAAACAGCUGUGUUCUGGAGUUGGAGCCUUCAAAAUCUGUUUCAAAUUCUGCCCAGUCCAUCAAUCAGCUGUUUCCCCCCAAUCUGCCUCAACUGCAAAUGGAAGUAUCCUAUUUUAACUCAAUCACAGCAACUGCACCGCUAUUCCCGGUCCUAUCCUGAAAGGUCAUGUUUAACCUUACAGCCCUCAUCAAGAAGUUACCUUCAAUAACAUGGAGGCCAUGAUGGUUUCCAAAGUGGUGUAAAGAUAGAAGGACUAGCUUUUGUGGAGAUUGUAAUCCAGAUGUUUGAAAAGAUUGGUCGCAUAGGUUACAAAGUUGGUUUCAUUGGUUUGUAAUACAAAUACAUGAUGUACACUAAUCAUAUUUUGCCAAGGCUAAACUUGAGGGAAUGACAAAAAUUUGAUGGAUUAAUAUGCAAGAAUUUUACACAAAGAAUGGCUUUGGAGAAGUUGCGGUGGGAAGAGAUGAAGCAAAUAAUGAUCCAACAAUUUAUGCCUCCCAACUACAAGCAAUGGGUCCAUCUCAAGUUUACCCAUUUGUGUCUAUAGAACAUGUCAUUGCAGGAAUAUACAAAUCAGUUCUAUAGAAUGGUAUGCUGUCAAAUUAUUUGUAGGAUGACAUCAUGAUGGCAACAUACUGCCACUGGUUGAAGCUGCAAAUUGAUUCUACCUUAACUGCUUCUUGAUUAAAUACCAUGUUUGAUGCAAUUCAAA